Molecule: ribosomal RNA, 502 nt
Filed under: uncultured bacterium
Lineage: Bacteria
Description: bacterial SSU rRNA
Rfam family: Bacterial small subunit ribosomal RNA
Source: RNAcentral
AGAGUUUGAUCAUGGCUCAGAUUGAACGCUGGCGGAAUGCUUUACACAUGCAAGUCGAACGGCAGCACGGGGCAACCUGGUGGCGAGUGGCGAACGGGUGAGUAAUACAUCGGAACGUGCCCAAUCGUGGGGGAUAACGUAGCGAAAGUUACGCUAAUACCGCAUACGAUCUACGGAUGAAAGCGGGGGAUCGCAAGACCUCGCGCGAAUGGAGCGGCCGAUGUCAGAUUAGGUAGUUGGUGGGGUAAAGGCUCACCAAGCCAACGAUCUGUAGCUGGUCUGAGAGGACGACCAGCCACACUGGAACUGAGACACGGUCCAGACUCCUACGGGAGGCAACAGUGGGGAAUUUUGGACAAUGGGCGCAAGCCUGAUCCAGCCAUUCCGCGUGCAGGAUGAAGGCCUUCGGGUUGUAAACUGCUUUUGUACGGAACGAAACGGUCUGCCCUAAUACGGUGGGCUAAUGACGGUACCGUAAGAAUAAGCACCGGCUAACUACGUG